GUAACAAAUAAAAUCUUUGAAAUUAUCAGCCUUGUAAAUUCGUAUCCCAAGGGCAUAACUUUGGAUGCGUUUU
This 73-nucleotide long non-coding RNA is filed under the name Ictidomys tridecemlineatus (thirteen-lined ground squirrel). Its description in RNAcentral is "lncRNA (ENSSTOG00000030294.1)". The record is from RNAcentral. Lineage: Eukaryota; Metazoa; Chordata; Mammalia; Rodentia; Sciuridae.